RNAcentral lists this long non-coding RNA (693 nucleotides) under Lupinus angustifolius (narrow-leaved blue lupine). Its description in RNAcentral is "long non-coding RNA (LANG_LNC001779)". The record is from RNAcentral. Lineage: Eukaryota; Viridiplantae; Streptophyta; Magnoliopsida; Fabales; Fabaceae.
UAAUACUUAUGCAUAUCCAUGAUAUAUAUCAUUCAUGGGUUAGAAUAUUUUUUUAUGGGCUAAGUGAAAGAAGCAUAUAAGUGGAUUUGACACCAUAUAUUGACCCAAAACCUUAAGGCAUUAAGUCUAUGGGUCCAUUCACUUAUAUGCUCUAUAACUCAUCUAUUUUUGCUCAAUGUGUGACUUCUUCCUUCACACUUAGAAUACCCAACAUCUCCCCCUCAAGUGUGAGUUCUCCUUCGAAUAUUGGAUACACCAGAGCUCAACUCUUUAGUUACUUGCACCGUCGUUGGCUUAUCCUUUCAUCAAUGGAACACGCCACAUUGACCUCUCAUCAGGAAGACUUUCGACACAAGGAUCCCUCAUGGAUCUACCGACUACUUGUCGCUUCAAUACUCCAUUGAGUCGUCGAACCAUCGGCUCUUAUACCACUUGUUGGGAGAUCUUCAUCUAUGGGUUACAACAUUCCUUCAUGGGCUAAGUGAAAGAAACAUAUAAGUGGAUUUGACACCACAUAUUGACCCAAAACCUUAAGGCAUAAGGUCUAUGGGUUCAUUCACUUAUAUGUUUUUUAACUCAUCCAUUUUUGCUCAAUGUGAGACUUCUUCAUUGACACUUGGAAUACCCAAUAAUAUGAAAAUUUAUUUUACAUUUUGUUAAAGCAAUGUUAUUUUUGUUGUCAUUUUUCCGGCU